RNAcentral lists this transfer RNA (73 nucleotides) under Felis catus (domestic cat). It matches the Rfam family "tRNA". Rfam says of the family: Transfer RNA (tRNA) molecules are approximately 80 nucleotides in length. Their secondary structure includes four short double-helical elements and three loops (D, anti-codon, and T loops). Further hydrogen bonds mediate the characteristic L-shaped molecular structure. tRNAs have two regions of fundamental functional importance: the anti-codon, which is responsible for specific mRNA codon recognition, and the 3' end, to which the tRNAs corresponding amino acid is attached (by aminoacyl-tRNA synthetases). tRNAs cope with the degeneracy of the genetic code in two manners: having more than one tRNA (with a specific anti-codon) for a particular amino acid; and 'wobble' base-pairing, i.e. permitting non-standard base-pairing at the 3rd anti-codon position. RNAcentral also lists the same sequence under 4 other names. Lineage: Eukaryota; Metazoa; Chordata; Mammalia; Carnivora; Felidae. The record is from Rfam by way of RNAcentral.
GCCUGGGUGGCUCGGUUGGUAGAGCAUGCAACUCUCAAUCCCAGGGUUGUGAGUUCAAGCCUCACGUUGGGUG